RNAcentral lists this small nucleolar RNA (135 nucleotides) under Kryptolebias marmoratus (mangrove rivulus). RNAcentral's name for it is "Small nucleolar RNA SNORA8 (ENSKMAG00000009557.1)". It matches the Rfam family "Small nucleolar RNA SNORA8". From Rfam's summary of the family: ACA8 is a member of the H/ACA class of snoRNA that guide the sites of modification of uridines to pseudouridines. Lineage: Eukaryota; Metazoa; Chordata; Actinopteri; Cyprinodontiformes; Rivulidae. The record is from Rfam by way of RNAcentral.
AGCACUGUUGUAUCUGCAGCCAGCUGCUCCAUCAGCUGGUUUGUUUAAAUGCCGGUGCUAAAGAAACUCAGCGUCAGGCAUCGUUGGUCUCCUCUCUGCCGUGUCUGGAGUCCUGGUAUCGAUGCUGAAACAUAC